Molecule: long non-coding RNA, 298 nt
Organism: Musca domestica (house fly)
Lineage: Eukaryota; Metazoa; Arthropoda; Insecta; Diptera; Muscidae
Exons: 4
Source: RefSeq, a predicted model, not a curated record
UGCCAAAAAACCCUCUGCCGCCAAGAAGACCGCUGAAAAGAAGAAGACCGACAAAACAAAGGCAGCUGCCAAAAAACUCUCUGCCGCCAAGAAGACCGCUGAAAAGAAGAAGGCCGACAAAACAAAGGCAGCUGCCAAAAAACCCUCUGCCGCCAAGAAGACCGCUGAAAAGAAGAAGGCCGACAAAACAAAGGCAAAGGCUGCCAAGAAAACCGGUACAGUUAAAGCUAAACCAGCAAAGACCGCCGCCAAAUCAUCUGCCACUAAAACAUAGGCACCCAAGGCAAAAACUGCAGCU